GUUUAAUUCGAUGCAACGCGAAAAACCUUACCACUUCUUGACAUGGAGGCUAGAUCCUUCUUAACGGAAGGGCGCAGUUCGGCUGGGCCUCGCACAGGUGCUGCAUGGCUGUCGUCAGCUCGUGUCGUGAGAUGUUGGGUUAAGUCCCGCAACGAGCGCAACCCUCAUCCUUAGUUACCAGCGGGUAAUGCCGGGCACUUUAAGGAAACUGCCAGUGAUAAACUGGAGGAAGGUGGGGAUGAUGUCAAGUCAGCACGGCCCUUAUGGGGUGGGCUACACACGUGCUACAAUGGCGACUACAAUAGGUUGCAACGUCGCAAGGCUGAGCUAAUCCGUAAAAGUCGUCUCAGUUCGGAUUGUCCUCUGUAACUCGAGGGCAUGAAGUCGGAAUCGCUAGUAAUCGUGGAUCAGCAUGCCACGGUGAAUACGA
RNAcentral lists this ribosomal RNA (430 nucleotides) under uncultured Anaplasma sp. RNAcentral describes it as "bacterial SSU rRNA". It matches the Rfam family "Bacterial small subunit ribosomal RNA", at positions 944 to 1370 of the family's 1533-position model. Lineage: Bacteria; Pseudomonadati; Pseudomonadota; Alphaproteobacteria; Rickettsiales; Anaplasmataceae. The record is from RNAcentral.